RNAcentral lists this ribosomal RNA (466 nucleotides) under uncultured bacterium. RNAcentral describes it as "partial 16S ribosomal RNA". It matches the Rfam family "Bacterial small subunit ribosomal RNA", at positions 28 to 507 of the family's 1533-position model. The record is from RNAcentral.
GAUGAACGCUGGCGGCGUGCUUAACACAUGCAAGUCGAACGGAAAGGCUCCUGCUUGCAGGGGCACUCGAGUGGCGAACGGGUGUGUAACACGUGUGUGAUCCCCCCUUCUCUUCGUGAUAUGCCUUCGAAACUGGGUCUCAUACCGGAUAGGAUCAUCGUUUAGUGUUGGUUGUGGAAAGUUUUUCCGGUUUGGGAUGAGCUCGCGGGCUAUCGGCUUCUCGUUGGCUUGAUGGCAUACCAAGGCGUUGACGGGUAGCCGGCCUGUGGGGGUGUACGGCCACAUUGGGACUGAGGUAAGGCCGAGAUUCCUACGGGAGGGAGCAGGGGGAAAGAUUGAACAAUGGGCGCAAGCCUAAUGAAGCAACGCCGCGUGGGGGAAAACGGCCUUCGGGUUGAAAACUACUUUCGUAAGUAACGAAGCGAGAGUGACGGUAACUGGAUAAGAAGCACCGGCUAACUACGUG